This is a non-coding RNA of Paramormyrops kingsleyae, 1918 nucleotides long. NCBI's taxonomy places the organism in Eukaryota, Metazoa, Chordata, Actinopteri, Osteoglossiformes, Mormyridae. The record is from RefSeq and is a predicted model, not a curated record.
GCCGAGCGCUAGACCCUGGCACACAGCGCAGACGGCGCGCUGCUUCAGUCGGGCUGCGUGAGGGGGGACGGAGCGCAGGUGCGUCUUCCUCGCAGAUGGCGACAGAGGCAGGCUGGUGACUGGGAGGCUGACCGACAGCAGUGCCGAACACCUCCUGCAGCUCCAGAGGACGUGUCCAGGAAAUUGGAGCAGGAUGAGAUGCUGAAAGCAGGGGUCCAGGUGGUGCUUCUGAGCCCCCUCCCCUAUUCAGCACCAAGUUUCUGGAGGUGCAGCAUCGGACCGCUCUCACCAAGCCCCACCUCUUCAGCCAAAGUUCUUCCGGGAGGUGGUCGGAGUGGAACGCCUUUUGGGGGAGCGUCAGCUUGCUGGGAUCUUCCAAAUAUUACAGACCCCUUCGGCUCCUCACUCCACAGUGACUAUAGUGCAUCUCUCCCAGGAAUGCUCCCCUGUGGCCUCUCACCAUGUUUCCUAGCCGUUUCCUCUUAUGCUCUGCAUUAGGAUCUGCUUCUCGUCUUACCCCGUACUUCUCCCCCUGCCCAGCUUCUGUGUCUCCAUCAGUCUUGCUCCUACCAUCUGCUCCUUCCCUACCCUUACGUUCUCCUGCUUUACUCUUGGCCUUGGAGCCUCUCCUCCCACUGCCCCUCGUCUCACGCGGCUAAGUGAUUUGCCUGCGGGGGCCCUGGCCGCCCUCUCCAUCCUCCCCUUUGCCCACAUCUCCCGCUGUGUCCUAUGGCUUUUUAUUCCUACGUGAUGGUAGUCUGGGCUCAUGUAGGGAUGAAAGCCACUAAACACACGGUGAGAGGUCAGCGUGAUCGGUGGGGCGAGAUGCUCCUCUGGAAGAUGCUCCACAUUUCAGCACCAAGGUCCGCCGCACUGCAUUAUGGGCCGCCUGGGCAGAGCGGGAUGUCGCUGCUGCCUGAAAAUAAAUGGUUAACCUCGCAGCACAGCAAGUAAAGCAGGUUCUCGUUUUCCUUACUGUCGCGCGGCGGUGUUAGGAAACAAUGUAAAUCUGUGUAAGAAUAAUGUGAUGGCAGAACUUUACACUGGUUGUCGCAUUACUCAACACCAGGCCACUAUGACUCAAUUCUGUCGGCAACAGACAUGAAAUGGGCAUUCAGGGACAGUCAGGCUACCCUGAGGCCAUUCAUCUUAGCUCAUAGGCUGCAACAACAUUCAACGGGGGCCAUUAACGGCCAACUCACUUUUCCGGUUGGGCUGUAGGCAGCAACCAGAAGCUUACAGACUGAUAUUUGAAAAAGUGCAACUUCUGAACAACGGGCAGUGAAGUAUAGCACUGUAUACAGUGUAAUUCAGCUCAGAGAGCAGUAUCAUCAGUAAACUAAUAAUGAUUUUCUGUUUCAGAACAUCCCUACAGUUUUCUGCUCCUUUGGUUACUAUUAUGUCUGUGAUGUGGGCUUCACCUCAUGUUGAUUUUAUAGCAGCCGAACUGUAAAUGUAAGCUUUUGAGUGAGCUUGUAAAACAUGUUAUUUGAAUGGCUUUUUAUGACAUAAAGGAAUUAUGGAAAAAAAAAAACACAAUUCACAUUAGCUAAUAAUUGUUCCACCUGAAUUACAGCCAGGAAUAUUUAGACUCAUUACUUUCUCUCGCUCAGAGCAAUAUUAAUGGUUUUCAUGGGCAUCUUUUGUGCAAACUAAAAGCCAAACGCAGGUCCGCCUGAAGUCAAUCGUGUGUUCCACCCUAGCCGGCUUCCUGCUGGCUCUGAAUAUUUCCCACAGCAGGAAUCCUGGGCCUCCUGUUUACCACCUUUGUUUUUAUCCGUUUCAUUUUGUUCCAUAGGCAUUGGCAAAAAAGAAAACGGUUUACUUUGAAUUUCACUGUCAUUAUAUUUGAAUUUCAUCCUCUCCUUUGGAUCUUGGUAUUUUCAAUAAAGGAUCCUUCCCUUGUUUUUUGCUCUAC